RNAcentral lists this ribosomal RNA (301 nucleotides) under uncultured bacterium. RNAcentral's name for it is "partial 16S ribosomal RNA". It matches the Rfam family "Bacterial small subunit ribosomal RNA", at positions 509 to 807 of the family's 1533-position model. The record is from RNAcentral.
CAGUAGCCGCGGUAAUACGAAGGGGGCUAGCGCUGUUCGGAUUUACUGGGCGUAAAGGGUGCGUAGGCGGCUUGACAAGUCUUGUGUGAAAUCUAUGGGCUCAACCCAUAGUCUGCACGGGAAACUGUCGGGCUUGAGAAUGGGAGAGGUGAGUGGAAUUUCCGGUGUAGCGGUGAAAUGCGUAGAUAUCGGAAGGAACACCUGUAGCGAAAGCGGCUCACUGGACCAUUUCUGACGCUGAUGCACGAAAGCUAGGGAAGCAAACAGGAUUAGAUACCCCCGUAGUCCCUGUCUCUUAUAC